GAUGAAGAACGUAGCGAAAUGCGAUAAGUAAUGUGAAUUGCAGAAUUCAGUGCAUCAUCGAAUCUUUGAACGCACAUUGCGCCCGCCAGUAUUCUGGCGGGCAUGCCUGUUCGAGCGUCAUUACAACCCUCAGGCCCCCGGGCCUGGCGUUGGGGAUCGGCGGAGCCCCCCGUGGGCACACGCCGUCCCCCAAAUACAGUGGCGGUCCCGCCGCAGCUUCCAUCGCGUAGUAGCUAACACCUCGCGACUGGAGAGCGGCGCGGCCACGCCGUAAAACACCCAACUCUUCUGAAGUUGACCUCGAAUCAGGUAGGAAUACCCGCUGAACUUAAGCAUAUCAAUAAGCGGAGGA
Molecule: unclassified non-coding RNA, 352 nt
Filed under: soil metagenome
Description: partial contains 5.8S ribosomal RNA, internal transcribed spacer 2, and large subunit ribosomal RNA
Rfam family: 5.8S ribosomal RNA (bases 1-120)
Source: RNAcentral